This 2536-nucleotide long non-coding RNA is filed under the name Homo sapiens (human). RNAcentral describes it as "HSALNT0175381". The stretch from base 1496 to 1578 matches the Rfam family "mir-130 microRNA precursor family". The record is from RNAcentral. Lineage: Eukaryota; Metazoa; Chordata; Mammalia; Primates; Hominidae.
GUGAGUCGCUGGGCCUGCUCCUCAGGAAUGAGUUGGGUGUGUGAGAGCUGAGGGGCUCUUGGCCCUUUCUCCCUGCACUCCCUAAGGAGAGACCUGGAAACUUCUUGGGGAAGAAUCUUCCCCUGGCCUCCCUGAAGCUUGCUGUGCAGCCUUAUCUUUGCCCCUCUGCCCCCUGUUGGUGUGAUCCAGUUCCCAGCUGGGCCUGGUUUGCCCAACCCCAGAGCAGAGAGGUCACUGACCCUCGAGGGGUCUUGGUUUCCGCCCAUUAAAACUGUAGGGCAGGGCCCCAUGUUUGCAGAUUACGGGAACAAACUCUGCCGGGGAGAGCGGGAGGGAACGUCUCCUGCUUCCUGAGGGGGUGGGACGAGGCUAGAGGGAAGCCCAGAGGAAGAGCUCCCAACUGGAAUUCUGUCCUCUAUUCCUUACGGUGGCUGUGGAUUAGGGAAGAAGGCAUCUCCCCUUCGUUGAUCGGGGCACUGGAGGAAUCACCCUCCAGCCUCUGUUUCUCUGGGCUGCCCAAAGUUCACUGGGUCAGAACUGGAGCUGGGCUCCGGGGCUGUGGCCCUAGCUGGAAUGUGCCACAAUAGAGCCUGCCUGGGUCUGAGCCUCCAGAUAUCCAGGUGUCCUUCCAGGGCAGCUUUCUGGCUUUGGGUGUUAAUCUUCCGGGGACUGUUUGUCCUGUAUUUAAGCCCCCUUAGGGUUGGAUAGGAUGGGGAAGUGCUAGGAUGAGCUUGAAGACUCCCCAACCAAGGGUCCCUGGAUAAGACAGGAAAUAACUCAGAUGUGAAUCCCACUGCCAGUGAAAGCCUAUCCCUAACUCUCAGUAACUGUGAGCGAAUCACCCUCACCAUUUUAAUGCUGAAUCUGCAAAGUGCUUUCAGGACCUCCAAAAGGAGAUGCAGGGGUGGGGCUUCACCAGCAGCUUUCACCUCCCCGCCUGGAAGCUUCUCUCUACUGCGUGGGGAGCUGUGACUACAGGCUCCCACCUCUCUGGUCCUGGAAGGUCAUCUGAGAGUGUUGCCUUGAGGCCUAGAGCUCUGCUUUAUCUAAAUUUAAAAGGAGAUGGAAACUUAGAGAAGAGUAGAGGGUUCUGUAGUCUUGGGCAGCAAGCUCCUCUCUAGAAGGUAAGCUAGCGGAAAUGCAAAUCCAGAUGAACACAGCCUCAUACGAGUGACCUCCAGACUUUGGGGAUUGCUAAUAGCCGUUUUCUUUGAGGACUGAGCAUCAAGCCCGAAGUAUCCCUGCAGCUGCUUUAGUGGGUCCUGUCCUCCCAUGCCAAAACCUCCAAGAAAAAGGUGGUCUCUGUGCUGGGGGUCAGGGGGUUGGUGAAGAAGGCGGCAAAAGGAAGAGUGGUGAAAAAAUAGAAUGAACACUAAGAAUGGAAUAAAAGGGAAAAAAGCUGUAUUGAAGCAAAGAAGGGGCAGAGGGAGCCCGUGAGCUGAGUGGGCCAGGGACUGGGAGAAGGAGUGAGGAGGCAGGGCCGGCAUGCCUCUGCUGCUGGCCAGAGCUCUUUUCACAUUGUGCUACUGUCUGCACCUGUCACUAGCAGUGCAAUGUUAAAAGGGCAUUGGCCGUGUAGUGCUACCCAGCGCUGGCUGCCUCCUCAGCAUUGCAAUUCCUCUCCCAUCUGGGCACCAGUCAGCUACCCUGGUGGGAAUCUGGGUAGCCUCACUUGUUAGUUAUACUAAUAGCUCUCAUUUAUGGAACUACUUCUGUAUGCAGUGCUUGUGAUAGACACUGCCUCCGUUACUGUGAAACCUAAUAACUUCUGGGAGGUAACAGCCCCAUUUUAUGGAUGAAAAACUGAGGGUCAGAAAGGUUUAAACAGUUUGGCUAAGAUUGUGUAGCUCUUAGGUUGCAAAGCCUAGAUACAACCCUGUGUUAAGUCUUGACAGCUCACUCAUCUUUUUGUAGACCCAUCUGGAGAGAUCUGAAUAGGUUCUUCAAACUGGGAGAUUUCCUGAGCUGAGGGGUGGAAGGUUUUGAUGCCAUCUGCUGGUUGUAUGAGGAUAUCUUCCAAAGCCUCAAACCUUUAAGGACCAGAAGUGGUGGCAACUCCUUAGGCUAAGAAGGAUAAGCAUUCCCAGACUCAGCCCGGAAUGGAGAGUGAGUGGAAAAAGAUUAGGAGAAUCACUAUUAGGUACAGAGUAGGCCUCCUUGAGAAAAAAAGGAAUGCACCAGAAAGGAAAGGGGGUUAACUCGAGAGGAUUGCUCCCCAAAGAAAAGGACCUGUGUGCUGCUGGCAUCCCAUACCUACAGCUCCUUCCCUGGCUCAUGAGGCAUGGAAAGACCUCACUCCUUCCCUGAAUCCACUUACCUUUCUCAGCACCACUCCCUCUUGGUCACGGGGUGUUUGAUGGUAAUGCUGCUUGAGGGCACACCUGUCUGGGCAUCCAAGAUUUGGACAGCGUUGCCCAUGACUUAAUCUUAAAGAUUAAUAGGAUCCCUUGAAUCAACCCACAGAAUGAUUCUCCCAGGACCAAUUACAAGGAAAUUGAGGCCGGGUGCGGUGGCUCACGCCUGUAAUCCCAACACU